GAUAAACGCUAGCGACAGGCCUAACACAUGCAAGUCGAGGGGCAUCACGUCUUCGGAUGGUGGCGACCGGCGCACGGGUGAGUAACACGUAUGCAACCUACCUGUAAGAGGGGAAUAACCCGGAGAAAUUCGGACUAACACCGCAUAAUACAUAAUUACCGCAUGGUAUUUAUGUUAAAUAUUUAUAGCUUACAGAUGGGCAUGCGUAUGAUUAGCUAGUUGGUGAGGUAACGGCUCACCAAGGCAACGAUCAUUAGGGGUUCUGAGAGGAAGGUCCCCCACACUGGUACUGAGACACGGACCAGACUCCUACGGGAGGCAGCAGUGAGGAAUAUUGGUCAAUGGGCGAGAGCCUGAACCAGCCAUGUCGCGUGAAGGAAGAAUGUCCUAUGGAUUGUAAACUUCUUUUAUACAGGAAUAAAGUGUACUACGUGUAGUAUUUUGUAUGUACUGUAUGAAUAAGGAUCGGCUAACUCCGUGCCAGCAGCCGGGUAACGUAAACG
RNAcentral lists this ribosomal RNA (503 nucleotides) under uncultured bacterium. Its description in RNAcentral is "bacterial SSU rRNA". It matches the Rfam family "Bacterial small subunit ribosomal RNA", at positions 28 to 527 of the family's 1533-position model. The record is from RNAcentral.